Molecule: ribosomal RNA, 458 nt
Filed under: uncultured bacterium
Lineage: Bacteria
Description: bacterial SSU rRNA
Rfam family: Bacterial small subunit ribosomal RNA
Source: RNAcentral
CGCUGGCGGCGUGCCUAACACAUGCAAGUCGAACGGGGUAAUGACUUCGGUUAUUACUUAGUGGCGAACGGGUGAGUAACGCGUGAGGAACCUGCCUUUCAGUGGGGGGACAACAGUUGGAAACGACUGCUAAUACCGCAUAAUGUAUUUUAGGGGCAUCCCUUUAAUACCAAAGCUUUAUGUGCUGAAAGAUGGUCUCGCGUCUGAUUAGCUAGAUGGCGGGGUAACGGCCCACCAUGGCGACGAUCAGUAGCCGGUCUGAGAGGAUGAACGGCCACAUUGGGACUGAGAUACGGCCCAGACUCCUACGGGAGGCAGCAGUGGGGAAUAUUGGGCAAUGGGGGAAACCCUGACCCAGCAACGCCGCGUGAAGGAAGAAGGCCUUCGGGUUGUAAACUUCUUUUAGCAGGGACGAAGAACGUGACGGUACCUGCAGAAAAGCAACGGCUAACUACGUG